UUUAUGUUGUCUGCUUUUU
This 19-nucleotide small RNA is filed under the name Arabidopsis thaliana (thale cress). RNAcentral's name for it is "ATSL005970". The record is from RNAcentral. Lineage: Eukaryota; Viridiplantae; Streptophyta; Magnoliopsida; Brassicales; Brassicaceae.